RNAcentral lists this ribosomal RNA (443 nucleotides) under uncultured bacterium. RNAcentral describes it as "partial 16S ribosomal RNA". It matches the Rfam family "Bacterial small subunit ribosomal RNA", at positions 338 to 795 of the family's 1533-position model. The record is from RNAcentral.
CCUACGGGAGGCAGCAGUGGGGAAUAUUGGGCAAUGGGCGCAAGCCUGACCCAGCAACGCCGCGUGAAGGAAGAAGGCCCUCGGGUUGUAAACUUCUGUUAUACGGGACGAACCAAAUGACGGUACAGAAAGAAUAAGCUACGGCUAACUACGUGCCAGCAGCCGCGGUAAUACGUAGGUGGCAAGCGUGAUCCGGAUUUACUGGGGGAAAAGGGCGUGAAGGCGGGGGAGAAAGGCAGACGUGAAAGUCCAGGGCGCAACCCGGGGACUGCGUUUGAAACUGUUCUGCUUGAGUGAUGGAGGGGCAAGCGGAAUUCCGUGUGUAGCGGUGAAAUGCGUAGAUAUACGGAGGAACACCAGUGGCGAAGGCGGCCUACUGGACAUUAACUGACGCUGAGGCGCGAAGGCGUGGGGAGCAAACAGGAUUAGAUACCCCAGUAGUC